RNAcentral lists this long non-coding RNA (578 nucleotides) under Sorghum bicolor (sorghum). RNAcentral's name for it is "long non-coding RNA (SBIC_LNC017536)". Lineage: Eukaryota; Viridiplantae; Streptophyta; Magnoliopsida; Poales; Poaceae. The record is from RNAcentral.
UACCCCUAAUUCUACUGUCGGACACUUGUCCAUUUUUUUCUGCGAGGUUGUCGAGCACUUGCUCCUUUUUAUUUCCUCGAAAUAUUUUUAUUUUUGCAUAGCCCAUGCCUCUAAUGCAAUAAUACUUCGGAAGAGUGAAUCUUACUGAAAUAGUGUCUUGAUCUUGGGAGCAUGAUAAAUCUCUCAACAAGGGUCUAACUCAUUUUGAACAAACUCAAUACAGAGUAGAUAGCUUUAUAAUCAUCAUUAAUAUUUUUAUUUUUAUCAGGCAUAUAAAACACUGAGGAUGGUAGCUAGAAUUUUGAAUAUUUUGAAAUAAAUUCUCCAAGCAACAAUGAUAUCAAGAAUAAGAAACUCAUACUCUACCAUCACAUAUUCCAUAUUGACUUAAGUAACACAGGGUUUUAAAAUGAUUUUAUAAUAAUUGUAAGUUUUCAGGAAAUAUCACAGAUUGAGAUUAAUCAUGAUUAGAAAUAUUUUAAUCUUUUUAUUUUAUCAUGUCGGAAACAGUAAUCUGCAUAAUUCAAAAUAAAUGUAUGUAUGAAGUAAAGUGUGCAGAGUGUGUACCUGAAUCGUGG